This 353-nucleotide ribosomal RNA is filed under the name uncultured Leucobacter sp. RNAcentral's name for it is "bacterial SSU rRNA". It matches the Rfam family "Bacterial small subunit ribosomal RNA", at positions 8 to 360 of the family's 1533-position model. The record is from RNAcentral. Lineage: Bacteria; Bacillati; Actinomycetota; Actinomycetes; Micrococcales; Microbacteriaceae.
AGAGUUUGAUCAUGGCUCAGGACGAACGCUGGCGGCGUGCUUAACACAUGCAAGUCGAACGAUGAAGCCCAGCUUGCUGGGUGGAAGAGUGGCGAACGGGUGAGUAACACGUGAGUAACCUGCCCUUCACUCUGGGAUAAGCGCUGGAAACGGUGUCUAAUACUGGAUACGACCCUUACAGGCAUCUGUUGGGGGUGGAAAGAUUUAUCGGUGAAGGAUGGGCUCGCGGCCUAUCAGGUAGUUGGUGAGGUAACGGCUCACCAAGGCGACGACGGGUAGCCGGCCUGAGAGGGUGAUCAGCCACACUGGGACUGAGACACGGCCCAGACUCCUACGGGAGGCAGCAGUGGGGA